UAGUCCACGCCGUAAACGAUGGUCACUAGCUGUCCGGAUUUCGAUCUGGGCGGCCAAGCGAAAGUGAUAAGUGACCCACCUGGGGAGUACGUCGGCAACGAUGAAACUCAAAGGAAUUGACGGGGGCCCGCACAAGCGGUGGAGCAUGUGGUUUAAUUCGAUGAUACGCGAGGAACCUUACCAGGGCUUAAAUGCAGUCUGACAGCUUUAGAGAUAGAGUUUUCUUCGGACAGAUUGCAAGGUGCUGCAUGGUUGUCGUUAGCUCGUGCCGUGAGGUGUCAGGUUAAGUCCUAUAACGAGCGCAACCCCUGUUGUUAGUUGCCAGCGAGUCAUGUCGGGAACUCUAGCAAGACUGCCGGUGCAAACCGUGAGGAAGGUGGGGACGACGUCAAAUCAUCACGGCCCUCACGUCCUGGGCUACACACGUGCUACAAUGGCAGGUACAGAGGGUAGCCACUGCGCAAGCAGGAGCGGAAUCCCAAAAGCCUAGUCUCAGUUCGGAUC
This 504-nucleotide ribosomal RNA is filed under the name uncultured bacterium. RNAcentral describes it as "bacterial SSU rRNA". It matches the Rfam family "Bacterial small subunit ribosomal RNA", at positions 791 to 1299 of the family's 1533-position model. The record is from RNAcentral.